ACUCAAAUGAAUUGACGGGGGCCCGCACAAGCGGUGGAUCAUGUGGUUUAAUUCGAAGCAACGCGAAGAACCUUACCUGGGUUUGACAUCCUCGGACCGAUACAGAGAUGUAUUUUUCGUAGCAAUACGACCGAGAGACAGGUGCUGCAUGGCUGUCGUCAGCUCGUGUGGUGACAUGUUGGGUUAAGUCCCGCAACGAGCGCAACCCCUGUCCUUAGUUGCCAGCAUUCAGUUGGGCACUCUAGGGAGACUGCCGUGGUUAACACGGAGGAAGGUGGGGAUGACGUCAAGUCCUCAUGGCCUUUAUAUCCAGGGCGACACACGUGAUACAAUGGUCGGUACAGAGGGAAGCGAAAGGGUGACCUGGAGCCAAUCUCAAAAAGCCGAUCUCAGUUCGGAUUGGAGUCUGCAAUUCGACUCCAUGAAGUUGGAAUCGCUAGUAAUCGCGGAUCAGCACGCCGCGGUGAAUACGUUCCCGGGCCUUGUACACACCGCCCGU
Molecule: ribosomal RNA, 499 nt
Filed under: uncultured bacterium
Lineage: Bacteria
Description: partial 16S ribosomal RNA
Rfam family: Bacterial small subunit ribosomal RNA
Source: RNAcentral